This 711-nucleotide long non-coding RNA is filed under the name Aotus nancymaae (Ma's night monkey). Its description in RNAcentral is "lncRNA (ENSANAG00000039434.1)". Lineage: Eukaryota; Metazoa; Chordata; Mammalia; Primates; Aotidae. The record is from RNAcentral.
UAUAAGUUCCCUUUUUUAAAAUUCCCCAAUGGUUUUCCUUUGCAAUAAAAACAAAAUCCAAGCUGCAAAUUUUGGUCUUCAAGUCACUGAUGAUAAGACGCUUUUGCAUUUGUAAUUCCCUUUGUUGAAAGCUCCUCUCUGCCCACUUCAGCUAAACUGUGUGUGUGUGUGUGUGUGUGUUUGUGUGUAUGUACGUGUAGUCGUUAUUUUAAAAUACAAAUAAAUUCUGGGCUUUUUCCUGUUAGUUUAGAUUAGGAGUAACUAUAUGACUAAAAUGUAUUGCUGUCUUUGAUAAAAAUAAGAAAUGAUAUAGUUACAUAAUUUUUAAUUUUAUAAUCUUGCUUGUAUCCUCUUCUACAUCUACAUAGAUUCUACUGACAAAUCCAAGCUCUCAAAACUUAGUGUAUAAUGCUAGAAUUGUUGGACGAGAUGCUGUUGACUUUUCCCUCUCCCAGAAAGGGAAUGUUGUAAUAAUUCCUCCAAAGGAUAGGCAAUUGGAGCAAAAGGAAAAUAAAAGAAGUGAAAUUACUAUCACUGUGAAAUUCAACAGUCGCUUUCUUCUUCCUGCUGAAGCUUCACUACUAUUAAUUUCAAAACCCAAGAAUGUAGUAAGAGGAAUGACAGUGACAUUUGCUCUUGAAGGCAAAGUCCUCAAUUUAAAACCCAUUUAUGAUUUUAUUUUUUUACUUUAGGAAAUUAUAAAAUGCGAAA